Molecule: ribosomal RNA, 498 nt
Filed under: uncultured bacterium
Lineage: Bacteria
Description: partial 16S ribosomal RNA
Rfam family: Bacterial small subunit ribosomal RNA
Source: RNAcentral
GAUGAACGCUGGCGGCGUGCCUAAUACAUGCAAGUCGAGCGAACAGACGAGGAGCUUGUUCCUCUGACGUUAGCGGCGGACGGGUGAGUAACACGUGGAUAACCUACCUAUAAGACUGGGAUAACUUCGGGAAACCGGAGCUAAUACCGGAUAAAAUGUUUAACCGCAUGGUUCAACAGUGAAAGACGCUCUUGCUGUCACCUAUAGAUGUAUCCGCGGGUCAUGAGCGAGUUGGGGAGGUAAGGGCGUACCAAGGCGACGAGACAUAGCCGACCUGAGGGGGGGAUCGGCGAGAGUGGGAAUGAGACACGGGCCAAACUCCGACGGGAGGCAGCAGGAGGGAAUCUUCGGCAAUGGAAGAAAGUCUGACCGAGCAACGCCGCGUGAGUGAAGAAAGUUUUCGGAUCGUAAAACUAUGUUGGUAGAGAAGAACGUUGGGGAGAGUGGAAAGCUCAUCAAGUGACGGUAACUACCCAGAAAGGGACGGCUAACUACGUG